RNAcentral lists this long non-coding RNA (1368 nucleotides) under Capra hircus (goat). RNAcentral describes it as "lncRNA (ENSCHIG00010022282.1)". The record is from RNAcentral. Lineage: Eukaryota; Metazoa; Chordata; Mammalia; Artiodactyla; Bovidae.
CAGUCCAUGGGGUCGCAAAGGGUCGGACAUGACUGAGCGACUGAACUGAAAUGAACUGAAGGAAUGUUAUAUAAUGAGCUUUCUCCUAGAGAUUCACAGCAUACAAUAGAAUAGUCACGACUCAGAGGAGUCCUGCUAUGUUUUCAAGUCACAUUUAACCACAGAAAUAUAAGAAAUUUGGAACAGUGAUAAUUCAUUUUUUAAGAUAGAAUUCACUUCUGUCACAGAAAUUUGCCAACCCUCAAUGAACACUGAGAAGUGGUUUAUAGAGAUAAAUAACACUUAUUCAGCAAAGUCUUGUUGAAUGCCCACUGUACCUUCCACUGUGAGUAUACAGUGAUGAGCAAAACAGACAUGGUUUCUGUCUUGUGGAGCUUCUGGUAGCACUGGGCUGUCAUGGGAGGCAUUAAGAAAGGAAAAGCGAGUGGUUAGAUACCUAAAUGCUCCUCAAGCUAUGGAACAGGCCCGUGAGCUGGGCAGUUAGCCCGGCUAUUUGCACCCUGUCUGGAGGCUAUGAAACCUACUGAUGUAAUCACACUACUCGAGAGAACCAUAAGAAAAAGUCAAUCCAAAUACAUUUAUUUCUGGAAUAGCAGAAUUUACCUAGGAAAGGAAGUUCAGGAAAGACAGGUAAGAAGUAGGUCAUUUUAAGGCUUUUGGAAUCUCUGGUGGAUCUGAAGAUCCCGCCUAAGUUAAGCUCUGUGACAGUGUCUGAAGUCCAGCCAAGUCCCGUAAAUGUUAACUAGAAUGGCCGCGGUGGUGAUGGUGACCCAUAUCGUGAUGGUGGUGGUGGUGGUGGCGGUGCUGGAUGAUAAUGGUGGUAGCAAUGGUGAUUCUGAUGACGGUAGUGAAGACGGUAGUGACGGUGAUGACGGUGAUGGUGGUGAUGGUGGUGAUGAUAAUGAUGACAGCAGUAGGAAUCUUCACCUCCUUCCUUUCACUCAGUACUGCAUCUAGUUGGUCACCAAGAACUGUGAGUCUACUUAUUAAGUUGCACUUAAAUCCGUCCUCUCAUUUCUCUCUAAAAUUCCGUUUCCCUGGAACAGGCCCUAGUCCUCUCCUAGUGACCACCUUAUCUCAUUUCGCUGCCUCUAACUCACAUUCUUCCAAUCCCUGCCCCGCACUGUGCUAAUGUGAUCUUCCUAAAGUUUAAGACUGACCACAGUUCUCCUUUGUCAAGCAGGCUCUGGAGUUUCCCGAAGGUCUAUCCUCCAGACAUCUGGGUGCCUUAGCAGGGAUUAAAGAAUCUCCACAGCUUCCCUCCCCAGCCGUAUCUCUUCCCCUCUCAUUGUGUAUCCUCAGCUCAACCACAGUCAGCCCACUGCAGCCCAGUCACUCCACGGACAUGGACACAUCCUUGCCUUUCUC